CCAGCAGCCGCGGUAAUUCCAGCUCCAAUAGCGUAUAUUAAAGUUGUUGCAGUUAAAAAGCUCGUAGUUGGAUUUCUGGUGUGUCAAGUCCGGUCCGCCCCGUAUUAGGUGGUGAGUACUGGCACUUGUCUGCCAUCCUUCCAGGAAGGUUCUGUCUACCCUUGAUUGGGCCGGAUGAAUCGACCUGGGACGUUUACUUUGAAGAAAUUAGAGUGUUUAAAGCAGGCUUAUCGCUUUGAAUAUAUUAGCAUGGAAUAAUAAGAUAGGACUUUGGUCCUAUUUUGUUGGUUUCUAGGACUAAAGUAAUGAUUAACAGGGACAGUUGGGGGUGCUGGUAUUUAACGGCCAGAGGUGAAAUUCUUG
RNAcentral lists this ribosomal RNA (363 nucleotides) under uncultured eukaryote. RNAcentral's name for it is "SSU rRNA". It matches the Rfam family "Eukaryotic small subunit ribosomal RNA", at positions 567 to 922 of the family's 1831-position model. The record is from RNAcentral.